Nannospalax galili (Upper Galilee mountains blind mole rat) is the source of this 1931-nucleotide long non-coding RNA. RefSeq lists it as uncharacterized. Lineage: Eukaryota; Metazoa; Chordata; Mammalia; Rodentia; Spalacidae. The record is from RefSeq and is a predicted model, not a curated record. The transcript is spliced from 5 exons.
CCUGACUGUGCUUGCAAGCUGCUAACCACCCUGGAAGACAGCCUCCCUGCGAUGUAAACAGGCUCAGAAGAGUCAAGCACUGAGUUGAAGAUUUGGACUUGGUCUUAUCUAGUUUCCUUUCUAGCCACCAGAGAGCCCAGGCUUGGAGACAGAACCCAGUUUGGGGCCUUGACUUCCCUUACUAUCAGCUAUGAAAAGACUGAAGCUCAGAGUUGAAGCUGUUUGCUCAAGGUAACUGGUCUGUAAAGCUGAAGAGACUGGAAUCUAAAUCCAGCCCUGUCUCCAGAUUACAAACUCCUAUCUACGUUGGUGACAGGACCAGGGGCUGGAAACUAGACAGAACUCACUCAACCAGCAAGGCCUGAGGUGCCUGUGGAAUGUUAAUCACAUUACUAGCAAAAAAGGAGUGGCAGUUACCAAGUCUCCAAUACUUGGACGAGUGCCUACUAGACUGUGCUGGGCCACUGCUACUUCUGGACUAGCCGAGGAGGAAAGGAUCAGCUGCACAAAUCCAUACCACGUGUCAGAAAAGACGUGGAGAUAUGACAAGAUGACACUGGACUGUUGGUUGCUCAACAGCGAUGUCUCUGUAAAAAUCGAAGUAUGCAGGAGUCAUAAACCUUCCCCAGCUGCUCGUGUUUUAUAUAUUAGUUUGAAUAAUCCUUUCUGUUAUGUGGUUCAAAACACUGAGAAAGACCUUAGAACCUUUACACACGCUUACUUGGUGGUGACACACAAGCACACAUUUCUGAGCCUGGAUGUGGAACUGUGGCUCUGGGCUCUGGUAAAAUAAACAUGAGAAUGUGUGGAAUUUAUUUGUAGUUUGCAGGAAGUAAGGUGUUAUUGUUAGAGUAGUUUCCUGCCAUAAAAGAUUCUUUAAUUUGGUUUUAAAAUAGCAACUUUAGAUGUUGUUUUUGACUCUGAAAUCUAUAGGAAAUCCAAAAUGAUAUGGUUUCUUUAAAAUUUUUUGGUAUAAGAAUUUUCCAUAUUUUUCAUAGAUAAGUUGUUAGAUGUUUCUAAUUUCCUGAUGGUACACAUGUAAUGAUGCAUGAAUGUACCACAUUUACAUGUGUAGGUGGUUCUACAUUAAAAAUAAGGAACUUUAUUUCAGUGAUGAGUUAGAUGCAAAGCCCCCCCUUCUGGAGUUGGGGGUGUCGCUCUGUGUUAGAGUGCUUGUCUAACACACCAGAGGCCCAGUUUAAUCUUCAGCACAAAUAGAGCAAAGAAAACAGUAAUAAACACUACAGCCCCCAAUCAGGGAGAAAACAGCAAACAGCAAACAAACAAACACAAAGCAAGGCCAAGGCAAGCCUUCAGGAGGUGUGAGGUGCGAUUCUUGUGGGAAGGAAAAAAGGAUUGAUGCUUAAGAUGGUGGGGGUUGGGGCACCCUCAAAUAGAAAGGCUGUGCUCACCUUAGCCGCCAUCAUGAAGUGAUAAUAGUCUCAGGAGUCAAGCCCAGGCCUACUUUCCUCUUAAAAAUUAAAAUAAUAACUUUGGCACAGUACUGACAGCAUAAAAUUCCCCAGUUAGCUGUUUACACAUGCACAACUCGUGGGCAUUCAGCACACUGACAAUGGUGUACAGCCAUCAGCAUUAUGGAUUCCAGAAUGUUCUUGUCAUUCCAAAAGGAGGCCCAUACCUAUUAAACAAUUGCUUUUUAUUUUCUCCUCCUUUGGACUCUCUAUCUUGAAGAAUUUGUCAAGUCUGGAAAUUUCACGUGUGAUCUUUUGUGUCAGGCUCCUUUGGUUUACAGUAUAAUGAGAGUAAUGCUUUAAAGGUUCAGUGAUGUUAUAAAACAUCAGCACCUUAUUCCUUUUUAUAGCUGAGUAAUAUUCCUUUAUAUGGGUAUAGCAUGUUUUGUUUAACCUUUCAUUCAUUGAUGAUUGUUUCUGCCUUUUGUCUAUUGCAAAUAAAACUACUAUCAACACGUA